GACGAACGCUGGCGGCGUGCUUAACACAUGCAAGUCGAACGAAGCUUGAUUACGUAUUCUUCGUAUGAAGUAUGAUAUGACUGAGUUGCGGACGGGGUAGUAACGCUUGAGUAACCUGCCCUUCAGAGGGGGAUAGCGUUUGGACACGAACGGUAAUACCGCAUAAUGUAUUUUGACGGCAUGAUCGAAAUACCAAAGAUUUAUCGCUGAAGGAUGGACUCGCGUCUGAUUUGGUGGUUGGCGGGGUAACUGCCUACCAAGCCGACGAUCAGUAGCCGGACUGAGAGGUUGGUCGGCUAGAUAGGGACUGAGAGACGGCACAGAUUCCUACGGGAGGAAGCAGUGAGGAAGAUUGAACAGUGGGAGCAAGAUUGAUCAAGCAACGGUGCGUGAAGAAAGACGGUUUUCGGAAUGCAACCUUCUGUUGUUAGUGAAGAAUAAUGACGGUAGCUAAGGAGCAAGCCACGGCUAACUACGUG
RNAcentral lists this ribosomal RNA (479 nucleotides) under uncultured bacterium. RNAcentral describes it as "partial 16S ribosomal RNA". It matches the Rfam family "Bacterial small subunit ribosomal RNA", at positions 28 to 507 of the family's 1533-position model. The record is from RNAcentral.